UAGAGUUUGAUCAUGGCUCAGAUUGAACGCUGGCGGCAGGCCUAACACAUGCAAGUCGAGCGGUAGAGAGAAGCUUGCUUCUCUUGAGAGCGGCGGACGGGUGAGUAAUGCCUAGGAAUCUGCCUGGUAGUGGGGGAUAACGUUCGGAAACGGACGCUAAUACCGCAUACGUCCUACGGGAGAAAGCAGGGGACCUUCGGGCCUUGCGCUAUCAGAUGAGCCUAGGUCGGAUUAGCUAGUUGGUGGGGUAAUGGCUCACCAAGGCGACGAUCCGUAACUGGUCUGAGAGGAUGAUCAGUCACACUGGAACUGAGACACGGUCCAGACUCCUACGGGAGGCAGCAGUGGGGAAUAUUGGACAAUGGGCGAAAGCCUGAUCCAGCCAUGCCGCGUGUGUGAAGAAGGUCUUCGGAUUGUAAAGCACUUUAAGUUGGGAGGAAGGGCAGUUACCUAAUACGUGAUUGUUUUGACGUACCGAC
RNAcentral lists this ribosomal RNA (479 nucleotides) under Pseudomonas sp. 01WB03.1-4. Its description in RNAcentral is "bacterial SSU rRNA". It matches the Rfam family "Bacterial small subunit ribosomal RNA", at positions 1 to 482 of the family's 1533-position model. The record is from RNAcentral. Lineage: Bacteria; Pseudomonadati; Pseudomonadota; Gammaproteobacteria; Pseudomonadales; Pseudomonadaceae.